Molecule: small RNA, 127 nt
Filed under: Marmota monax (woodchuck)
Lineage: Eukaryota; Metazoa; Chordata; Mammalia; Rodentia; Sciuridae
Source: RNAcentral
GCCGGGCAUGGUGGCACACUCCUGUAAUCCCUGCCGCUCUGGAGGCUAAGGCAGGAGGAUUGCAAGUUCUAGGACAGCCUCAGCAAUUUAGGGAGGUCCUUGGCAAUUCAGUGAGAUCCUGUCUCAA